UUAAAAGUUACUAAAUUAGGAAAAUUUAUUAAUUUAUCGAUAAAUUAAAACUUUUUAAAUUAUAAAAAUUUUCAGUUCCAACAUUAUUAAUUUAUAGAGGUUUUACUGUAUAUAGAUUAAUU
This 122-nucleotide small RNA is filed under the name Arabidopsis thaliana (thale cress). RNAcentral describes it as "ATSL212850". Lineage: Eukaryota; Viridiplantae; Streptophyta; Magnoliopsida; Brassicales; Brassicaceae. The record is from RNAcentral.